This is a long non-coding RNA of Gasterosteus aculeatus aculeatus (three-spined stickleback), 1169 nucleotides long. Lineage: Eukaryota; Metazoa; Chordata; Actinopteri; Perciformes; Gasterosteidae. The record is from Ensembl.
UACAGGAACCACAUAACAGGGCUACUGUAGCGAAGCUACUAUAGGAACAACAUAACGGGGCGACUGUAGCGAAGCUCCUUUCGGAACCACAUAACAGGGCGACUGUAGCAAAGCUACUACAGGAACCCAAUAACGGGGCCACUGUAGCGAAGCUACUACAGGAACAACAUAACAGGGCGACUGUAGCAAAGCUACUACAGGAACCACAUUACAGGGCGACUGUAGCAAAACUACUACAGGAACCACAUAACAGGGCCACUGUAGCGAAGCUACUACUGGAACCACAUAACAGGGCGACUGUAGCGAAGCUACUACAGGAACCACAUAACAGGACGACUGUAGCAAAUCUACUACAGGAACCACAUAACAGGGAGACUGUAGCAAAUCUACUACAGGAACCACAUAACAGGGCGACUGUAGCAAAGCUACUAUAGGAACAACAUAACGGGGCGACUGUAGCGAAGCUCCUUUCGGAACCACAUAACAGGGCGACUGUAGCAAAGCUACUACAGGAACCCAAUAACGGGGCCACUGUAGCGAAGCUACUACAGGAACAACAUAACAGGGCGACUGUAGCAAAGCUACUACAGGAACCACAUUACAGGGCGACUGUAGCAAAGUUACUACAGGAACCACAUAACAGGGCGACUGUAGCGAAGCUACUACAAGAACCACAUAACAGGGCGACUGUAGCAAAGCUACUACAGGAACCACAUAACAGGGCGACUGUAGCGAAGCUACUACAGGAACCACAUAACAGGGCCACUGUGGCAAAGCUACUACAGGAACCACAUAACAGGGCGACUGUAGUGAAGCUACUACAGGAACCACAUAACAGGGCCACUGUAGCGAAGCUACUACAGGAACCACAUAACAGGGCCACUGUAGCGAAGCUACUACAGCGGCAGUUACAAGUUAAAAACCGAGGGCGCAGCGGCGUUCUUUCGGUGUUUUUUGUCAUUGUCAAGUCACGCAGACACGUGACUUCAUUUUCUUACGCGACUGAAUGACAGGAGAUCUUUUUGAUUAUUUUUGUUUUGUCUUCAUUUUACACAGCAAAGCAUCAACUUAAAAUACAAUUAAUGCAUUCUGUCACACGGUAGAUGAACGAUAUGCUCUUGUGCCUCAUGCAGCUCUUCUGUGUGGCACCCGCUGCAAUCAUGACGUCA